UUUUGGUGAAGUUUUCGGAUGGAACCGAAAUUGACUGAGUGGCGGACGGGUGAGUAACGCGUGGGUAACCUGCCUCACACAGGGGGAUAACAGUUAGAAAUGACUGCUAAUACCGCAUAAGCGCACGGAGACGCAUGUCUUUGUGUGAAAAGCCUUAACGGUGUGAGAUGGACCCGCGUCUGAUUAGCUAGUUGGCAGGGUAACGGCCUACCAAGGCGACGAUCAGUAGCCGACCUGAGAGGGUGACCGGCCACAUUGGGACUGAGACACGGCCCAAACUCC
RNAcentral lists this ribosomal RNA (282 nucleotides) under uncultured Lachnospiraceae bacterium. Its description in RNAcentral is "partial 16S ribosomal RNA". It matches the Rfam family "Bacterial small subunit ribosomal RNA", at positions 65 to 339 of the family's 1533-position model. Lineage: Bacteria; Bacillati; Bacillota; Clostridia; Lachnospirales; Lachnospiraceae. The record is from RNAcentral.